RNAcentral lists this long non-coding RNA (741 nucleotides) under Pavo cristatus (Indian peafowl). Its description in RNAcentral is "lncRNA (ENSPSTG00000009744.1)". The record is from RNAcentral. Lineage: Eukaryota; Metazoa; Chordata; Aves; Galliformes; Phasianidae.
GUGGUGUCAGUGCUCACAAAGGUUAACCCCUCUGAAGGAGGGCGGCACUUCUCUUGGCAUGACAUGACAGAAACUGUGUUGCCACAACCUGAUCCCAUUUCAUACUGGGCAGGAUCAGGUCAGGUUGUAUCAGUGUUAUAUUCUGUUGGAAAACGGUAUUGUAUUUCAGCAUGUUUUCUCCACAGUGGACAAAGCCUUUAACUUCUCCCUUUAUUUCAGGGUGAGAGGGGAGCUCCUGGCCUCCCUGGACAGUCAGGAGACAGAGGUGUGCCAGGAGUUGGACUGGCUGGACCACCUGGCCCUGUUGGACCCCCAGGAGACAAAGGAUCAUUGGGUCCUCGUGGUAUACCUGGUAUCCCUGGACCACAGGGGCCUCCUGGCCAGGAUCUGCAGACUCAUCAGAUGACCUUGGAAAUGUGUCUGUUAUAGGUUGUUAUAUUCCCUGAUACUGCAAUAUCAUAUUUAGAGUUGUAUUUCGGGAGGUGAAAGAAUAAAUACUUCCUUUGCAGUAGCUUUGACCAGAAUUAUCUCCCAGAGGAAUACAUUGUUUUUCUGCAUGACUGCAUCCUGGAAGGAGUGGCUGACACACCAUUAGGCUGUGCUGCCGUUCAGUGAUCCUCACAGACUGGAGAGUUCAAUGUGGAACUUCUAGGGAGAGUCCAGCAGAGGGCCACAAAGAUGAGAGACCUGGAGCAUCUCUCUUAUGAGNUGUGCUAAUUAUUACUGAUAACUACAUUCCAA